GAGUUCCAUCCCUCAAUUGUGAUGAAAUCGUUGUAAGAAGCAGCAAUGAGAACAUGGGAGGCUUCCUAUGUUCUAAUUUAGAAGAAUGAAGUGAGAGCGGGGAGAAGCCAGACGCCGACUCUUUCCCCUGAAGGAGGAGUGAUGCAGGCAAUGUGGGGUAUGGGGUGGCGGUUCCCUACACUGCCCACCAGAUUUGCCACACUGGAUGGCAAAUCCCUCCGCUUUUGCCCGCCAUGUGAAUCUCAAUUUGAUGAGGUCCUUAGUCAUCUUCCAGAGCUUAUGCUGGAUUUUUAUAGGAGAUGUGACCAAGAAGACAGGGGAACAUUGCAUGGAAAGAAACUCUGGGAAAUAUAGCUGUGGUUUCUAACAGAACAUUUACAUAUCGUCACCAAACUUCAAUCAACAAGAUCUUUUGGAAGAAACUAUGAUUAUUCAAUAGCGAUAAAACAAAUCAAGAUCCUGAUAACCUAAUAAAUUUAGAGUACAGGUCA
This is a long non-coding RNA of Anolis carolinensis (green anole), 491 nucleotides long. RefSeq lists it as uncharacterized. The record is from RefSeq and is a predicted model, not a curated record. NCBI's taxonomy places the organism in Eukaryota, Metazoa, Chordata, Lepidosauria, Squamata, Anolidae. The transcript has 2 exons.